GAACAACCAGCUCGCAUUUGAUGUGGCUGAGCGAGAGUUUGGGAUCCCUCCAGUGACCACGGGCAAAGAGAUGGCGUCUGCCCAGGAGCCUGACAAGCUCAGCAUGGUCAUGUACCUCUCCAAGUUCUACGAGCUCUUCCGGGGCACCCCACUGAGGCCCGUAGAUUCUUGGCGCAAAAACUAUGGAGAAAAUGCUGACCUCAGCUUGGCCAAAUCAUCCAUUUCUAAUAACUAUCUCAACCUUACAUUUCCAAGGAAGAGGACUCCACGAGUGGAUGGUCAAACCGGAGAGAAUGACAUGAACAAACGGAGGCGGAAGGGCUUCAAUAACCUGGACGAGCCUUCAAACUUUUCCAGCCUUAGCUUGGGCUCCAAUCAAGAGUGUGGGAGCAGUAAGGAAGGCGGAAAUCAGAAUAAAGUCAAGUCCAUGGCGAAUCAGCUGCUGGCCAAGUUUGAGGAGAGCACUCGGAACCCCUCACUCAUGAAGCAGAAUAAACUACCCUCUAAAGGCCUGUCUCAUACUCAUCCUUCGUCUCCU
This 538-nucleotide small RNA is filed under the name Pongo abelii (Sumatran orangutan). RNAcentral's name for it is "processed transcript". Lineage: Eukaryota; Metazoa; Chordata; Mammalia; Primates; Hominidae. The record is from RNAcentral.